Molecule: ribosomal RNA, 253 nt
Filed under: uncultured bacterium
Lineage: Bacteria
Description: partial 16S ribosomal RNA
Rfam family: Bacterial small subunit ribosomal RNA
Source: RNAcentral
UACAGAGGGGGCAAGCGUUGUUCGGAAUUACUGGGCGUAAAGGGCGCGUAGGCGGCCUUCUAAGUCGAACGUGAAAUCCCCGGGCUCAACCCGGGAACUGCGUCCGAGACUUGAAGGCUUGAAUCCGGGAGAGGGAUGUGGAAUUCCAGGUGUAGCGGUGAAAUGCGUAGAUAUCUGGAGGAACAUCGGUGGCGAAGGCGGCAUCCUGGACCGGUAUUGACGCUGAGGCGCGAAAGCCAGGGGAGCAAACGGG